CCUACGGGGGACUGCAGUGAGGAAUAUUGGUCAAUGGACGGGAGUCUGAACCAGCCAAGUCGCGUGAAGGAUGACUGCCCUAUGGGUUGUAAACUUCUUUUAUAUGGGAGUAAAGUGUUCCACGUGUGGGGUUUUGUAUGUACCCUGUGAAUAAGGAUCGGCUAACUCCGUGCCAGCAGCCGCGGUAAUACGGAGGAUCCGAGCGUUAUCCGGAUUUAUUGGGGUUAAAGGGUGCGUAGGUGGAAUGUUAAGUCAGCCGUGAAAGUUGGCGGCUCAACCCUAAAAUUGCAGUUGAAACUGGGAGUCUGGAGUAGAGGAGAGGUAGGCGGAAUGCGUGGUGUAGCGGUGAAAUGCAUAGAUAUCACGAAGAACUCCGAUUGCGAAGGCAGCUCACUGGAGUGCAACUGACACUGAGGCUCGAAAGUGUGGGUAUCAAACAGGAUUAGAUACCCGAGUAGUC
This 460-nucleotide ribosomal RNA is filed under the name uncultured bacterium. RNAcentral's name for it is "partial 16S ribosomal RNA". It matches the Rfam family "Bacterial small subunit ribosomal RNA", at positions 338 to 795 of the family's 1533-position model. The record is from RNAcentral.